AGAGUUUGAUCAUGGCUCAGAGCGAACGCUGGCGGCAGGCUUAACACAUGCAAGUCGAGCGGGCAUAGCAAUAUGUCAGCGGCAGACGGGGUGAGUAACGCGUGGGGAACGUACCUUUUUGGUUCGGAACAACACAGGGGAAACUUUGUGCUAUACCCGGAUAAGCCCUUACGGGGAAAGAUUUAUCGCCGAAAGAUCGGCCCGCGUCUGAUUAGCUAGUUGGUGAGGUAAUGGCUCACC
Molecule: ribosomal RNA, 240 nt
Filed under: uncultured bacterium
Lineage: Bacteria
Description: partial 16S ribosomal RNA
Rfam family: Bacterial small subunit ribosomal RNA
Source: RNAcentral